GAUGAACGCUAGCGGGAGGCUUAACACAUGCAAGUCGAGGGGCAUCACGAGGUAGCAAUACUUUGGUGGCGACCGGCGCACGGGUGAGUAACACGUAUGCAACCUACCCUGUACAGGGGGAUAACCCGGAGAAAUUCGGACUAAUAUCCCAUACAAUUAUUGGAGGGCAUCCUUUGAUAAUUAAAGCUCAGGCGGUAUAGGAUGGGCAUGCGGAACAUUAGCUAGUUGGUAGGGUAACGGCCUACCAAGGCUACGAUGUUUAGGGGACCUGAGAGGGUUAUCCCCCACACUGGUACUGAGACACGGACCAGACUCCUACGGGAGGCAGCAGUGAGGAAUAUUGGUCAAUGGGCGCAAGCCUGAACCAGCCAUCCCGCGUGAAGGAAGAAGGCCCUAUGGGUUGUAAACUUCUUUUCCAGGGGGUGAAUAAUUCCGAUGUAUCGGGAGAUGACGGUACCCUGGGAAUAAGCAUCGGCUAACUCCGUGCCAGCAGCCGCGUAAUCUGUAGUCGU
Molecule: ribosomal RNA, 512 nt
Filed under: uncultured bacterium
Lineage: Bacteria
Description: bacterial SSU rRNA
Rfam family: Bacterial small subunit ribosomal RNA
Source: RNAcentral